GCCUGGCUGGCUCAGUCGGUAGAACAUGUGACUCUUGAUCUCAGGGUUGUAGGCUCAAGCCCUACACUGGGCC
RNAcentral lists this transfer RNA (73 nucleotides) under Felis catus (domestic cat). It matches the Rfam family "tRNA". From Rfam's summary of the family: Transfer RNA (tRNA) molecules are approximately 80 nucleotides in length. Their secondary structure includes four short double-helical elements and three loops (D, anti-codon, and T loops). The record is from Rfam by way of RNAcentral. RNAcentral also lists the same sequence under 1 other name. Lineage: Eukaryota; Metazoa; Chordata; Mammalia; Carnivora; Felidae.